ACGCUUCCCCCCCCCAAACACCCUCUUUUCUCUCAGAAACACCCGCUUUCUCCCCCAAAACACCCGCUUUCCCUCCAAAAAACACCCGCUUUUCUCCCCCGAAACGCCCGCUGCUCUCCCCUCAAAAACACAACGUUUUGCCCUGAAAAACACUCGCUUUGCCCCAAAGAACACCGUCUUUCCCCAAAAACAGCGGCGCGAGGCGGCCCGCGCCCCCCCGGCCGCGCCGCCAUUACAGCGCCGGCCGCGCUCCGCCGGCCGUGAGGCGAGAGAAAGCGGCGGGGUUUCUGAGCGAGAUAAAAAUCUUAUUAUGCAACGCACAUUUUUAAUAGAUUAGUGCCGAGUCCAGGGGUGAGUCUCCAGAGCCAUCUGAAAACGUUCUGCCUGUGCUCAAUCUCAAGAAACUCGAUACAGUCCCAAGGGUAAAAAAACCACAUUUAAAGGAUGGUCUCGGUUAUAUUUAGCUGAGCAGCAGCACAGGCUGAGACGAGCAGAAACACAAGGAAGAACAAAGUGGAAACGCUCGACAGUUGGUAACAAAAACCUGCGAGUAUCUGAGGUGGAUUUUUUUUUAAUUUUCCUUUCCCUAAUUCACAUUUCGCCGUGCACAGAGAACAUCAAAGCAGCACAUGGGUUUAUGUGAACAAAAGGAGCGUGCUCAACCCUGCCGUUCUAACCAGAAGACAUGAAAAAUAUGCAGCUCAUCUCUACAGCGCAAAAUUUAUGUGGAAUUACUGAACCUCGACAAAAGCCAUCUCACAAAUUCUUCAAUAAAGACUAAACAGCUACAUUUAACCUCAUUUUUCCCUAUUUUUCAUCUGUUCUCAGCACAGGCAUCUCCAAACCCUCUCAAAAUCCCAAAUCCCAGCUAAGUCAGUGAUUCAUCACUUCUGGCAGCAACAAAGCGGGAAGGAGGAGAUGAAGACAAUGCUCUUGAGAACCACAAGCAAGGAAGCCCAAACUUCUCCUUCACCACCUUUCUGCUCGUUUCUCACAGCUCACACAGGACAGUGCCAGGCACAAAAACUCCCACCGGUGUUGAACACCCACCGUGUGUCCCAAACACCCCCUCCCUGAGGAAACACAACUUUGCCUUUUCCACCUGCCAGCUGAGACCGGAGUGACCAAGUUCUUCUGCUUCAGAAGAAUUCAGUGCCAUAAAGACCUUAAUAAUUUCAUAAAAUUGGACAUUUUCAUUUAUAAAAAGGCCGUAAGAAUCUCCAGCUUGCUAAAAUCCCUGAGAGUACCACGGAAAUUGCAGGAAAUAAUUAUUCUCCUGACAAAUGAAACUGGAUAUUGCACAGUGAGUGGGAGCAGAGUGAAAAGGGGAUGAGGCAGCUUUCGCUCGCCACAGGGUAUGAGGGGCUUAAUAUUUACGUGGCAAAAUUCAGAAUGUGUUAAAAAUCAAACAGAAAAAAACACUUGUGCUUUGAAAGGCUUCAAGGCCAGGUGGGGUUUUGCUUCCCAAAGUAAAGAGAGGUUAAAUGUUUAUUAAUAUCUCACCGAUUGCUGAGCAACAUGUAAAACUGCUCUCUCUUCAAAAUUAAAUAGACAAUCCACCAGAUUCUGUUACUCGCUCAACUGAGUUUGAUUUUACUAUAUUAAUAAGAAAAAAAUGUUUAUUUCCUCCCUGAGCAUCGUCUACUUUUCCAUUACUACAACCAGAAAUUGCCAAGAAAAUGAAACGCUCAAGCACAGCAGACGCUGCUUUUCUUCUCAUUAAAUCUGAAAACUUAGUUCCAGUGGGAUCGUAUUUAGUCCUCUCAAAUCCAGAACAGGAUUUCAUCCCGCCUCAACAUCCCAACAAUGACAUUUUACAAAUAUUACAAGUUUCUUGGACUCCCUUCUCACUCUGCAAGAAGCAAAGGAGCACCAGAAGAGAUUUCCCCCCCCCUUCUGCUUGGGAUUUUUUUAUUAAACCUUAAAUGUAACCAGCCCUCCUUUCAAAUCCAUCUUCUCUAGGAUUUUUUUUUUUUUGAGACCUCUGGAAGUCUCCGGGAUUUUUUUAAGUGGUAAUAAGUGUGAAAAGUCUUUGACAAAGGGUUGUCUUUAUCCAAGCCUUAAGCUCUCAUUGAGAGAGGUGUUAGAAAUAAACAAACAGGCGCUUAAAGCAGCCUAAAAGUCCUCUCAAAUCUUCUUCACCUGCUCUCCAGCCAAGACACCACCUGGAUUUCUAAAUCCAGGAAGAGAAAACAAUAAUUAAAAGAAGUAAAUAAAUAUUGGCAUGAUUCUUUACACAUGAGGGGAUGAGGAAAUCAGACGAUUUC
Molecule: long non-coding RNA, 2267 nt
Organism: Lepidothrix coronata (blue-crowned manakin)
Lineage: Eukaryota; Metazoa; Chordata; Aves; Passeriformes; Pipridae
Exons: 4
Source: RefSeq, a predicted model, not a curated record